UUUUGUUAUUGAUUCGUCGACUGUCAUUCAUUAUCCACCGCUUUCGUUUGUCGGACUACUCUGAAUCCUCGUCAAACCAACAGAAAACUAUGGACAACUUUCAAUGUUUUUAUUGCAAUGCAAAAGGUUUUGCAUCAGUUGGAGAGUUUACUCAACACGCGGGUGAU
Solanum tuberosum (potato) is the source of this 167-nucleotide long non-coding RNA. RefSeq lists it as uncharacterized. The transcript has 3 exons. Lineage: Eukaryota; Viridiplantae; Streptophyta; Magnoliopsida; Solanales; Solanaceae. The record is from RefSeq and is a predicted model, not a curated record.